CCGGCGGCUCCAGGUGCGGGGGCGCCCCUCGCGCUUCACCUGCGCCGCCGCCGCCGGCUCUCAGGGCAAGUUUAUCUCCCCCCUUCUGCGGAAACCCUUGACCGCUUAGCGGAGUACAGACCUGUCGGUAAAUAGAAAACUCGAGCUGGAGAGGAGGAGGAAGCAGCGUGGCGGAACCUGGCCCGAGAUGAGCGUCUCCGUGAGGGCAGUGGUGGCCUCUUGGACAUUACAUCUUUCUUGGCUCUUUUUUACCCAGGUUUCCACAGCUGGAUUGUUUACUAGGGCCAAUUGUCACCAAUGGCAGUAAAACUCAUUUUCUGGGGAGCAGGG
This 330-nucleotide long non-coding RNA is filed under the name Pan troglodytes (chimpanzee). RNAcentral describes it as "long non-coding RNA NONPTRT004244". Lineage: Eukaryota; Metazoa; Chordata; Mammalia; Primates; Hominidae. The record is from RNAcentral.